Molecule: ribosomal RNA, 493 nt
Filed under: uncultured bacterium
Lineage: Bacteria
Description: partial 16S ribosomal RNA
Rfam family: Bacterial small subunit ribosomal RNA
Source: RNAcentral
AUUGAACGCUGGCGGCAUGCUUUACACAUGCAAGUCGAACGGUAACAGGUUAAGCUGACGAGUGGCGAACGGGUGAGUAAUGCAUCGGAACGUGCCCGAUCGUGGGGGAUAACGCAGCGAAAGCUGCGCUAAUACCGCAUACGAUCUGAGGAUGAAAGCGGGGGACCGUAAGGCCUCGCGCGAUCGGAGCGGCCGAUGUCAGAUUAGGUAGUUGGUGGGGUAAAGGCUCACCAAGCCAACGAUCUGUAGCUGGUCUGAGAGGACGACCAGCCACACUGGGACUGAGACACGGCCCAGACUCCUACGGGAGGCAGCAGUGGGGAAUUUUGGACAAUGGGCGAAAGCCUGAUCCAGCAAUGCCGCGUGCAGGAAGAAGGCCUUCGGGUUGUAAACUGCUUUUGUACGGAGCGAAAAGGCUCUCUCUAAUACAGGGGGCUCAUAACGGUACCGUAAGAAUAAGCACCGGCUAACUACGUGCCAGCAGCCGCAGUAA